UUCAUAGUUACGAAUGCCUUGUCGAUGCUUAUGAUUUCCAAAGAACGUAAUGAUUCUAACUUGUGUCUUUAUCACGCUGUUCAUAUAAAGAACUUGUUGGGAAUAAUUUGUUUGCGAUGCAUAUUCAUCCAAUUCAAUGAUUCUAGGGAAAUCUGAAGGUUAAUUUAAGCGGACCUAAUUAACUUGGAGUGUCGAGAUUCAUAACUUAUUAAAUUGAUAACUAAAAAUUGAUUUAGGUUGCAUAUAUUUCAUGUGUGGAGAAGAACCCCUUAGCCAUUCCAUCAUCCAUUGAUUAUUCAUAACUUUGUGUUACAAUCUGUUUCUAUUACAAUCUGUUUUCCUUGCAAUCUGUCCAUUUAGUUCAUUUUCGUCCAAAUCAAUUCCCCAUUUAUUUUGAAGUCCUAGAUUAGUUAGAAAGUGUGUUGGUUUAUGUUUUAAGUGUUUUGGUACAAGUUAAAACCCAAAUUCGUCCAAAUUGGUGCUUUGUGUUCAAAACUGCCCAGAAAGUGUUUUUAAGGCAGUUUUGAGUCUUUUAGUUGCUGUUUUGAGUUAUUGGUUUAUUUUAGUAUUUUAAACGUGAGUUUUGCAUUCUUUGAGUCUAAUCUAGUGUUUUAAACUUUGUUUUUACAUUUCUAAGUCAGUUUUCAAGUGUUUAGCAAUCCCUCCUAAUCCCUGGUUUAGAACGAUCCCUACUUACAUACUUUGCUACAAUUGAUAAAAAGAGGGUUUAAUUUUGUGUGUUAACUUAUUUUUCACAUCAUUAUGUAUUGGACAUAUUCUACUAACAUCAAAGUGAAUUGAUUGUGACUAUUUCUUCUUUUUCAAAGAAUUAAGAUUCGAACAUUUUUCCUUAAUACAAGUUUAACAAGAAGGCAUUGGAUCCGAAUCUAACGAUCUCAAGCGUCCAUAUAAGGGCAAUUUGUAAUUUAUGUUUCGAGGUGUCACAUUUUAGUAGGGCUAAUCACUUAUUUGUAACCUUUUUGGUUUUAUGCAUCGUUCUGCUCUAAAGAGUUAACACUACCACAUUACCUCUAUUGAUAUAAAGACAGUCAAUCGGAAUCCAUUCACUCAUGGAUAAACAAACAAUGAAUUUGUCAAACAAAAACAGUUUAUCCAUCUCUUAAAAUUAUAGAGAUGGAAUCAAUCUCUUUACUCAAAUUGGAAUGUAAAGACAAUCUUUUCAUUUCCAAUUUAUUUGGUAGUCUAGAUGAGGAAGUAAGUGUCAUUUGCUUUCACAAAUAUCUUGAUCUUUUUGCACAUUUCAAAUGUGAAGCACUUUCUCUUCUCGCAUUAAUCUUCCAUUUCUUACUAGUUACUCUUUUAUAGCGAUCACAAACAUAGUUACUAGUACAUAAUCAAACAUUCAAGUACAAGAACCAACUAUUUGGAAGUAUUUCAAGAACAACUUAUAACACCUUUCGUAGGGUGUGUACUUGACACUAGCAAGAUAAGGCUUGCACUUACCCCUUCCAACAUCCAUCCUUUCAUAAAGAAAGUAUGUUCCCUUUUGGAGUUAUUUUGCCUUCUUCAUUUGACUUCUCCUAUGACUACAAUAGUCAUGGUCCCCAAACUCCUACUAUCUCUAUUGAAACAAAUUUCAAUUGUAUUAUACACAUCAAACAAUUUGGAGAAAGUGUGGUAACUGUUCACUAUGUAGUUUACAAUAAACUUAGUGAACAGUUAUGGAUAGGGACACAAGGGUGAAGUCAAGGUAGUUUCCAUCUAGUGAAGUGGUCCAACACUUCAACACCUGAUGGUUCAAAAUCAUUAUUAGUCCAUAUUGUAGGACUAAUGUCCCCAAUAACCAUCUUGAUCUAAACAAGAUUAUAAACUCAAGAGUUGUUCAAAGCAACCAUUCUUCCUUCAUACAAUCACUUGUAAGUGAAGAAUCGUGUUACAUAAAAUGUCCAUGUCUGAAGGAAAAAUUUUGUCCUAGCUAAGAACAAGUAAGAACAUUUGAAUACAUAUGCAAACUAUUAACACAU
This 1985-nucleotide long non-coding RNA is filed under the name Malus domestica (apple). Its description in RNAcentral is "long non-coding RNA (MDOM_LNC019291)". Lineage: Eukaryota; Viridiplantae; Streptophyta; Magnoliopsida; Rosales; Rosaceae. The record is from RNAcentral.